Molecule: long non-coding RNA, 289 nt
Filed under: Homo sapiens (human)
Lineage: Eukaryota; Metazoa; Chordata; Mammalia; Primates; Hominidae
Description: HSALNT0125564
Source: RNAcentral
UUCCAGAUUUUAAUUCAUAACACGUAAAUGAUAAAUAUUUGAGGACUCAAAGGAGAUAAAAAAUGAGAUCAGUGGCUGUAAUGAACAACAAUUAAGGAAUAAUUCAGCCUAUGAACAUUGGUAGUUAAGCUUCAGAUCCACAUAAUGAAAGGCAUAAAUAAGAUGACGCCACUUUAAAUGAUUAUCACCAGCAGACCCCAUGAAGCACCAGCUGGGGCAUGGUCAAAUGUCAUGGGUUAUUUUGUAGUUUAAGUAAUAAAUGUUUAAUCAAAGAAUUUUACAUAUUAUU